CUUCACUCUAUCACCAAAUUCUUUAAAGCAGAAGUCUACGAAAUCGUAAUAAUCAUUCACAAUGUUAGGGCUUAAGAGUCCCUUGUACUCAUCUUCAAGGGUUUGUGGAACAUCCCAGUGGAAUAGGGUCACAAGGGGCUGUAUAUCAUUGGAAAGGAGCUUGUCUAUGAGAGAAUUGUAGAAGUUGACACCUUCCCAGUUCACUCCCCUGGUAAUUUUCCCCUCAGGAAAUAUUCUUGGCCAAGAGAUUGAGAAUCUAUAGGAGUCCAAACCAAUUCCUUUCAAAAGGGUAAUGUCUUCCUCGUAAUGAUGGUAGAAAUCCUCAGCAACUU
Molecule: unclassified non-coding RNA, 332 nt
Filed under: Hevea brasiliensis (rubber tree)
Lineage: Eukaryota; Viridiplantae; Streptophyta; Magnoliopsida; Malpighiales; Euphorbiaceae
Source: RNAcentral